Molecule: long non-coding RNA, 320 nt
Organism: Thalassophryne amazonica
Lineage: Eukaryota; Metazoa; Chordata; Actinopteri; Batrachoidiformes; Batrachoididae
Exons: 2
Source: RefSeq, a predicted model, not a curated record
UAUGUAUAUAACUCAUACCAAUAUUUCAACAUUUUCUAAUGUCUUUACUUGUAUUUACUUUAGCUGGUAACAACAAGAAACACAAACACUUCUAGCAGAGUGGAAGACAACCUGCCAAUCGACUUGUCUCAGGUUGAACCUCAGCCUGAUGUUGGAGCCAUUGGAGAGAGGCACAAGUGCAGUAAGCGACAGGCCACUGACCACACAUACUCACUGCCUGCUUGUCCCAAGGCUAUACGUGCAAAACUCCAAGAAGCCUCAGCAAGAGUGAGGAAACUGCAGCGGGAGAAGUCAAAUGCCUUGGCAAGAGAAAGGAGGGC